UUAACUCAAAUUUGUAUGGUGUUGGAACGUUUACCUACGUUUGUCGCUAGGGGUGCUGCAUACAAAUUUGAGUUA
RNAcentral lists this microRNA precursor (75 nucleotides) under Bombyx mori (domestic silkworm). RNAcentral's name for it is "mir-2807 microRNA precursor family". It matches the Rfam family "mir-2807 microRNA precursor family". Lineage: Eukaryota; Metazoa; Arthropoda; Insecta; Lepidoptera; Bombycidae. The record is from Rfam by way of RNAcentral.